UAGACCGUCGUGAGACAGGUUAG
Molecule: non-coding RNA, 23 nt
Filed under: Arabidopsis thaliana (thale cress)
Lineage: Eukaryota; Viridiplantae; Streptophyta; Magnoliopsida; Brassicales; Brassicaceae
Also listed under: 3 other names
Source: RNAcentral